This 264-nucleotide ribosomal RNA is filed under the name uncultured Eubacteriales bacterium. RNAcentral's name for it is "uncultured Clostridiales bacterium partial 16S ribosomal RNA". It matches the Rfam family "Bacterial small subunit ribosomal RNA", at positions 75 to 339 of the family's 1533-position model. Lineage: Bacteria; Bacillati; Bacillota; Clostridia; Eubacteriales. The record is from RNAcentral.
AAUGAAGUUUUUGUGACUGAGUGGCGGACGGGUGAGUAACGCGUGGGUAACCUGCCUCACACUGGGGGAUAACAGUUAGAAAUAGCUGCUAAUACCGCAUAAGCGCACAGAGCUGCAUGGCUCGGUGUGAAAAACUCCGGUGGUGUGAGAUGGACCCGCGUCUGAUUAGCCAGUUGGCGGAGUAACGGCCCACCAAAGCGACGAUCAGUAGCCGGCCUGAGAGGGUGAACGGCCACACUGGAACUGAGACACGGUCCAGACUCC